This 278-nucleotide long non-coding RNA is filed under the name Cicer arietinum (chickpea). RNAcentral's name for it is "long non-coding RNA (CARI_LNC000694)". The record is from RNAcentral. Lineage: Eukaryota; Viridiplantae; Streptophyta; Magnoliopsida; Fabales; Fabaceae.
AAUUUUUACCCCACAUGAAUUUCAAGUAGUGCAUGUUUUGGCAUUGAAAGUUUAUCCAUAUAUAUAUGAUUCACGAACGUAUGUUAAUCUAUGUAUUAUGUUAAUCUAUGUAUGACUUUAUUCAUUUUACAUAAUGAAAGAUAAACUCGCAUCUUCCUUAUGUCUCCUCUAUAAUAUAUUUGUAUGUAGGUUAAUUCAACAUGAUCAAGACAAGCAAUCAAUGGAGGUUUUCUUGCGGAACUGAAGUACUAGAGGCUUGUACUUCACUUUAUUUUAAG